GGCUCACCAUUCAAGAGUACAGUGUGUGCACAGUUUGAAGAAGCGAAAAGACAGAGCACAUUUUGUGGAGAAAAUUGCUUUUUUCCUGACACUUUCCGUGGUUUUAUUGGAGGCUCCGAGGCUACGAUGGUUGUGUACAUCACACACACUAUGCUGGGAGACGGCAGCAGUGACCUGACCACUGUGAGGUCAGCAGGUGGAAUCCACAGAGUGAGUGAGGAAAUUUGUGAGAGAAGUAAACCUUAGAUUUUCCUCAUUGUAAGCAAAAACGUCUGUAAACAUGUUCAUGCACCAUAGCCGUGCAUUCAAUUUACGUAUUUUAUACCACCCUGAAAUUUACAACUUGUUCUUGUUCUUGUUUUGUUGUUGUUCUUUUUCUUGAAUCACCAAAUAUUACAAGCAUGGAAAUACAGAUUGUCUAUGCAACUUUUCCUUUACAACAACAAUAUUUGGGUAUAGUAUACUCGUUGAUCAGUGUUAUCUACAAUAAAAACAAAUAUAUGUCUACUUAUUAUUGCAAGUAAGGAAUGAGCCCUAAUCAUUUACCAGCCUUCCAAAGGAUUUCAUUUGAACCUGUUCAGGCUCAGUACUAAACUACUGUAUGUGUCACAACAUGCCAGUGUAUUGAUCUUCAAAGAUUCAUCAUGUUUUAGUGUGCAAACACUUCAACGGGCAGGAACUUAUAAAUACACCUUCUGUGUUAAAAAUAAAUGAUUAGUCACACACACUGAAAACCUCAGUUGAUUAUUGCUACCCUAACCCUAGCAUACCCUUAGUUUUACUUAUGUUAUGUUGCUUUUUGUUAAUCCAUCAUGAAAUACUGAGCCCUUUCAAUUUGCUUUGUGAGAUAUUUUAAUUAGAGUCACUUCAUAGAGGAGACCCUGGGUCCUGGGGUCUCACCUAUGGCCAUGAGCAAUAAGAAAAACCCCUUGGCUCUUGUGAGCAGGGAGCUCCUGUUCCAGGGGAUUGAGAAUGUGCUUAAGCCUCCCUCUCCCUGCGAUCUCACCUCCAGGCCAUCUUUCUAAUCAGCUCACCUGCUUAGAGGAGAAUUCAAUUACACAAAAUACACACACUGGUCUGCUUCGGUAGUUUUCUGUCUUAUGUGGCGUGAGGAUGGAGACAAUAACUUUGUAAAAAGUCAUUAAUGGUAAACUAUUAUCUAAUACAGUGAAACAAAACCAGAUCAUUUCAAAAAGUGUCUAUUUUAGAGAAAUAUAGGGAUAGAUACUGUGUGUGAUUUUCUUUUAAGGGGUUUACAUUUAAUUUCAUAAUAGACCUUCUGGUCGUUUUCUGUAAAUCAUUGGGGGAUUUGGGGUUUUGAGAAAGUGUUUAGCAUUUAGUGAGAACCUAACCUAAUGUGCUGUCAUUUUCUGUUAGUGGACAAACAAUGUAUAGUCAACAACACAUAGACAUUAAAGAGGAAUUCCUAAUGUAUUUAUGUUUCUAUGACUGUCUGAUAAUGAGCAUUUAAACAUUUAUGUUUUCUGAAAGGCAAGACAAAGGUUAAUGUCUAUAGGAGUCAAUGUAAAUCCAUGUUAUAAUGGCACUUCUGCAGGUGUGUGUGUGUAUGUGUGUGAAAGAGAAAUAAAUCCAUAGAAAAUACGUUUUUACAAUUCUUGGUCGAAUAUAUUCUGAAAUAAAAUUAGAUGCAAUACUGUGUUCUGCAUGUAUACAUAUUCACUGUAGCCCACAGACUUUUUUUGUAAUCUAUGAUAAACCACAAUUUGAUACGUUGAAGAUUCAAAUCAAUAAUACAAAAUAUAAAAGACAAAUACUUCAUAGUGUACUAUGAACGUUUUGGAUAAACAGUUUUAUUUGUGAGAUUCACAAAGUAAGGUCAGCAUUUGUAGUUCAGCUCAAACACGAACAGUGAACACAUAUUUCAAUUGUAUAAUAUUAAUUUGAAAUGGGCUGUUAGGCAGAAUAGUGCUUUUCUUUUAAAUUGAUAUGUGUUGAUGCUAAUACUUUUCUACUUUUAUAUAAACAACAUUUUGAAUGCAGGACUACUACACCCACACCAAGCAACCAGGAACAAACUUCAACUGAAAUCUGUUUGUCAUUCUUCUAACACUCUAAAGAAGUGUUCAACUAUCUUGAAACAACGAGGUACACAAUAACUGUUAAGGCUCCUAAAGAAAAUGAAUAUUCCCCUGAAUAAUUCAUUUGUGGCGGUUCUUAUUUAACAAAAGGCAGAGACAAUAAGUGUGUGUGUGUGUGUGUGUGUUAACUUUUACCUCACGAUUGUUCUCCCUCCAUGUGUGUCUUGUCUCCAUUUAUUUGUUUAAACUGAUGUAUUUAAACCUAACAUUUUAUAUAAGUCUUGUUGUGUAAUAUCCUUUCUAUUUUUUCAAAUAUAUCAUAAUGUCUGUGGAUUAUGUAAAACAAAAUUGAAGGAAGGAAACUGAACCCUUAACAUAUCCCAAAAAAUACUUUGUGACCUUGUAAUGUGUUAACUCUAUAUUUACAGUUAACUGUGUGUGCAUGUUUAGUUUCGGAUGAUACUAUAUGUUUCAAUAUUAAUAAGGCUUUUCACACCUUUCAUGUAACAGCUGUAUAAUAAAAGCAAAGUGAAAUCUUC
Molecule: long non-coding RNA, 2578 nt
Organism: Notothenia coriiceps (black rockcod)
Lineage: Eukaryota; Metazoa; Chordata; Actinopteri; Perciformes; Nototheniidae
Exons: 2
Source: RefSeq, a predicted model, not a curated record